This 459-nucleotide ribosomal RNA is filed under the name uncultured bacterium. RNAcentral describes it as "partial 16S ribosomal RNA". It matches the Rfam family "Bacterial small subunit ribosomal RNA", at positions 29 to 507 of the family's 1533-position model. The record is from RNAcentral.
AUUGAACGCUGGCGGCAGGCCUAACACAUGCAAGUCGAGCGGAUGAAGGGAGCUUGCUCCUGGAUUCAGCGGCGGACGGGUGAGUAAUGCCUAGGAAUCUGCCUGGUAGUGGGGGAUAACGUCCGGAAACGGGCGCUAAUACCGCAUACGUCCUGAGGGAGAAAGUGGGGGAUCUUCGGACCUCACGCUAUCAGAUGAGCCUAGGUCGGAUUAGCUAGUUGGUGGGGUAAAGGCCUACCAAGGCGACGAUCCGUAACUGGUCUGAGAGGAUGAUCAGUGACACUGGGAGUGAGACACGGUCGAGAAGCCUGAGGGAGGGAGCAGUGGGGAAUAGUGGACAAUGGGGGAAAGACGGAUCGAGAAAUGCCGCGUGAGUGUUGAAGGCCUGAGGGUUGUAAAGCUCUUUGACACGGGAUGAUAAGGACAGUACCGGGAGAAUAAGCUACGGCUAACUCCGUG